RNAcentral lists this ribosomal RNA (484 nucleotides) under uncultured bacterium. RNAcentral describes it as "bacterial SSU rRNA". It matches the Rfam family "Bacterial small subunit ribosomal RNA", at positions 30 to 532 of the family's 1533-position model. The record is from RNAcentral.
AUUGAACGCUGGCGGCAUGCCUUACACAUGCAAGUCGAACGGUAACGGGCCUUCGGGUGCCGACGAGUGGCGAACGGGUGAGUAAUGCAUCGGAACGUACCUUUCAGUGGGGGAUAACGUAGCGAAAGUUACGCUAAUACCGCAUAUUCUGUGCGCAGGAAAGCAGGGGAUCGCAAGACCUUGCGCUGAUUGAGCGGCCGAUGUCAGAUUAGCUAGUUGGUGGGGUAAAGCUCACCAAGGCGACGAUCUGUAGCGGGUCUGAGAGGAUGAUCCGCCACACUGGAACUGAGACACGGGUCCAGACUCCUACGGGAGGCAGCAGUGGGGAAUAUUGGGCAAUGGGGGAACCCUGACCCAGCAACGCCGCGUGAAGGAAGAAGGUCUUCGGAUUGUAAACUUCUGUCCUAUGGGAAGAAAAAAUGACGGUACCAUAGGAGGAAGCCCGCUAACUACGUGCCAGCAGCCCGCGGUAAUAGUCACGUCG